AGGGGAGUAACAGUUGGAAACGACUGCUAAUACCCCAUACUCCUUUUACAUUAAUUGUAAUUGGGAAAUGUUUUUCGCUAAAGGAUGAGACUAUAUGGUAUCAGGUAGUUGGUGGGGUAAGAGCCUACCAAGCCAAUGACGCCUAGCUGGUCUGAGAGGAUGAUCAGCCACACUGGAACUGAGACACGGUCCAG
This 194-nucleotide ribosomal RNA is filed under the name uncultured bacterium. RNAcentral's name for it is "partial 16S ribosomal RNA". It matches the Rfam family "Bacterial small subunit ribosomal RNA", at positions 137 to 334 of the family's 1533-position model. The record is from RNAcentral.